UUUGUGAAACAGACUCAGACCUUAAGAAGUGGAAUGUUCUGGGUGAAACAAAACUAGAAGAUGCACAUUCCAAGAAGCUGCCUACUGCACUUCAGCCAUCCACAAAUGCUCAGUCCACAGGGUACUUAUGUUGCACUAGGACUCUGCAGCCUGGACCAUUCUGCAAUACCAAUCUCAACACCUGUGUUUUAGACGGUGUUGUGAAGAACAGUUCAGCAGCUAUCCAAGGUUGACAACUCUUCUCUCACUUUUCUCAGCAAAAGCAGAGGCAGUUUGGAUGCUUAGCUGAUGUUUAGCUGGAUUGCAUAUGAAUCUGCAGGCUGACACGGAAGUCU
This is a long non-coding RNA of Cygnus atratus (black swan), 335 nucleotides long. RefSeq lists it as uncharacterized. Lineage: Eukaryota; Metazoa; Chordata; Aves; Anseriformes; Anatidae. The transcript is spliced from 3 exons. The record is from RefSeq and is a predicted model, not a curated record.